AGGGGAGAUUAUGUUGGCAUCAGACUACGAGAAAAAGGAUUUGAUCCAAGAGGACAAAGGCAGUCCACCUUUCUAGAUGACACGGUCCAUUACAACUUAGCCCUCAGUGUUGCUUUGAUGUGAUUACGUGACUCAGAUGCUCAGACUACACUGACAGGAGAGAAAAUGCAUCAAGUACCGGACACCAACAGCACAUGAAAAACAAGGCCCUCGUUCAGCAAGGAGAGCUGAAAAGGACGGCAAGCAACUGGAUACACUGACCAGAGGAAAGCAACAGGCUGAC
Long non-coding RNA from Hirundo rustica (Barn swallow), 283 nucleotides. RefSeq lists it as uncharacterized. The transcript has 3 exons. The record is from RefSeq and is a predicted model, not a curated record. Lineage: Eukaryota; Metazoa; Chordata; Aves; Passeriformes; Hirundinidae.